UACGUAGGUGGCAAGCGUUGUCCGGAUUUACUGGGCGUAAAGGGCGCGCAGGCGGUCUGUUAAGUGCAGGGUGAAAGCUCCCGGCUCAACUGGGAGAGGUCCUUGCAUACUGGCGGACUUGAGGGGGGUAGAGGAAAGUGGAAUUCCCGGUGUAGUGGUGAAAUGCGUAGAGAUCGGGAGGAACACCUGUGGCGUAGGCGGCUCGCUGGGCCGCUCCUGACGCUGAGGCGCGAAGGCGUGGGGAGCGAACGGG
RNAcentral lists this ribosomal RNA (253 nucleotides) under uncultured bacterium. RNAcentral's name for it is "partial 16S ribosomal RNA". It matches the Rfam family "Bacterial small subunit ribosomal RNA", at positions 524 to 776 of the family's 1533-position model. The record is from RNAcentral.